RNAcentral lists this ribosomal RNA (2247 nucleotides) under Listeria monocytogenes. Its description in RNAcentral is "partial 23S ribosomal RNA". It matches the Rfam family "Bacterial large subunit ribosomal RNA", at positions 683 to 2925 of the family's 2925-position model. Lineage: Bacteria; Bacillati; Bacillota; Bacilli; Caryophanales; Listeriaceae. The record is from RNAcentral.
CUGAAUAGGGCGCAUAAGUAACAGGUCGUAGACCCGAAACCAGGUGAUCUACCCAUGUCCAGGAUGAAGGUAAGGUAAUACUUACUGGAGGUCCGAACCCACGCACGUUGAAAAGUGCGGGGAUGAGGUGUGGGUAGCGGAGAAAUUCCAAUCGAACUUGGAGAUAGCUGGUUCUCUCCGAAAUAGCUUUAGGGCUAGCCUCGAGGUAAAGAGUCAUGGAGGUAGAGCACUGUUUGGACUAGGGGCCCUUCUCGGGUUACCGAAUUCAGAUAAACUCCGAAUGCCAUGUACUUAUACUCGGGAGUCAGACUGCGAGUGAUAAGAUCCGUAGUCGAAAGGGAAACAGCCCAGACCACCAGUUAAGGUCCCCAAAUAUAUGUUAAGUGGAAAAGGAUGUGGGGUUGCUUAGACAACCAGGAUGUUGGCUUAGAAGCAGCCACCAUUGAAAGAGUGCGUAAUAGCUCACUGGUCGAGUGACCCCGCGCCGAAAAUGUACCGGGGCUAAACAUAUUACCGAAACUGUGGAUGAACCUCUUUAGAGGUUCGUGGUAGGAGAGCGUUCUAAGGGCGGUGAAGUCAGACCGGAAGGACUGGUGGAGCGCUUAGAAGUGAGAAUGCCGGUAUGAGUAGCGAAAGAAGGGUGAGAAUCCCUUCCACCGAAUAUCUAAGGUUUCCUGAGGAAGGCUCGUCCGCUCAGGGUUAGUCGGGACCUAAGCCGAGGCCGAUAGGCGUAGGCGAUGGACAACAGGUAGAGAUUCCUGUACCAGUGCUAAUUGUUUAACCGAUGGGGUGACACAGAAGGAUAGGGAAUCGCACGAAUGGAAAUGUGCGUCCAAGCAGUGAGUGUGAGAAGUAGGCAAAUCCGCUUCUCGCGAAGCAUGAGCUGUGAUGGGGAAGGAAAUUAAGUACGGAAGUUCCUGAUUUCACGCUGUCAAGAAAAGCCUCUAGGAAGAGUAGUACUGCCCGUACCGCAAACCGACACAGGUAGAUGAGGAGAGAAUCCUAAGGUGAGCGAGAGAACUCUCGUUAAGGAACUCGGCAAAAUGACCCCGUAACUUCGGGAGAAGGGGUGCUCUAUUAGGGUGCAAGCCCGAGAGAGCCGCAGUGAAUAGGCCCAGGCGACUGUUUAGCAAAAACACAGGUCUCUGCAAAACCGUAAGGUGACGUAUAGGGGCUGACGCCUGCCCGGUGCUGGAAGGUUAAGAGGAGUGCUUAGCUUCGGCGAAGGUACGAAUUGAAGCCCCAGUAAACGGCGGCCGUAACUAUAACGGUCCUAAGGUAGCGAAAUUCCUUGUCGGGUAAGUUCCGACCCGCACGAAAGGCGCAACGAUCUGGGCACUGUCUCAACGAGAGACUCGGUGAAAUUAUAGUACCUGUGAAGAUGCAGGUUACCCGCGACAGGACGGAAAGACCCCGUGGAGCUUUACUGCAACCUGAUAUGGAAUGUUUGUACCGCUUGUACAGGAUAGGUAGGAGCCGAAGAGACGUGUGCGCUAGCAUACGAGGAGGCAAUGGUGGGAUACUACCCUGGCUGUAUGACCAUUCUAACCCGCCACGCUUAGCGCGUGGGGAGACAGUGUCAGGUGGGCAGUUUGACUGGGGCGGUCGCCUCCUAAAGAGUAACGGAGGCGCCCAAAGGUUCCCUCAGAAUGGAUGGAAAUCAUUCGCAGAGUGUAAAGGCACAAGGGAGCUUGACUGCGAGACUGACAAGUCGAGCAGGGACGAAAGUCGGGCUUAGUGAUCCGGUGGUUCCGCAUGGAAGGGCCAUCGCUCAACGGAUAAAAGCUACCCCGGGGAUAACAGGCUUAUCUCCCCCAAGAGUCCACAUCGACGGGGAGGUUUGGCACCUCGAUGUCGGCUCGUCGCAUCCUGGGGCUGUAGUCGGUCCCAAGGGUUGGGCUGUUCGCCCAUUAAAGCGGCACGCGAGCUGGGUUCAGAACGUCGUGAGACAGUUCGGUCCCUAUCCGUCGCGGGCGCAGGAAAUUUGAGAGGAGCUGUCCUUAGUACGAGAGGACCGGGAUGGACACACCGCUGGUGUACCAGUUGUUCCGCCAGGAGCAUCGCUGGGUAGCUAUGUGUGGCAGGGAUAAACGCUGAAAGCAUCUAAGCGUGAAGCCCCCCUCAAGAUGAGAUUUCCCAUUUCUUCGGAAAGUAAGAUCCCUGAAAGAUGAUCAGGUAGAUAGGUUUGGAGUGGAAGUGUAGCGAUACAUGGAGCGGACAAAUACUAAUCGAUCGAGGACUUAACCA